This 515-nucleotide ribosomal RNA is filed under the name uncultured bacterium. RNAcentral's name for it is "partial 16S ribosomal RNA". It matches the Rfam family "Bacterial small subunit ribosomal RNA", at positions 28 to 523 of the family's 1533-position model. The record is from RNAcentral.
GAUGAACGCUGGCGGCGUGCCUAAUACAUGCAAGUCGAGCGAAUGGAUUAAGAGCUUGCUCUUAUGAAGUUAGCGGCGGACGGGUGAGUAACACGUGGGUAACCUGCCCAUAAGACUGGGAUAACUCCGGGAAACCGGGGCUAAUACCGGAUAACAUUUUGAACCGCAUGGUUCGAAAUUGAAAGGCGGCUUCGGCUGUCACUUAUGGAUGGACCCGCGUCGCAUUAGCUAGUUGGUGAGGUAACGGCUCACCAAGGCAACGAUGCGUAGCCGGCCUGAGAGGGUGAUCGGCCACACUGGGACGGAGACACGGACCAGACUCCUACGGGAGGCAGCAGUAGGGAAUCUUCCGCAAUGGACGAAAGUCUGACGGAGCAACGCCGUGUGAGUGAUGAAGGCUUUCGGGUCGUAAAACUCUGUUGUUAGGGAAGAACAAGUGCUAGUUGAAUAAGCUGGUACCUUGACGGUACCUAGCCAGAAAGCCACGGCUAACUACGUGCCAGCAGCCGCGGUAA